CCGGACGCUUAACCGACUGCGCCACCCAGGCGCCCCUGAGUCGAACGUUUUAAACAGACCCUGAAAUGAAUAUAUCUGUAUAUAUUACAAAUAAAUAAUAUAUAUGUGUAUAUAUAGAUAUAUAUAUACAGUUUAAGAACUUAAACCCAAUAUUCACUUAUAAUUACAGACUGAAUUAUUAUAAGUGCAUUUUUUCUAAAAACUGCUAAAUUAUUCCUUACAGUCUUAUUAGUUAUACAGAGCAAAUUUUAUUGCUUUUCAUUCACAGAUGAGGAAAGCAAUGUCACAAUUAUCUUAUUUUCUUCCUCCUAGAGCUAGAAAACUGGCAUACUGUCCCAGAUUUUCUGGCUACAAGUGUGGGGCACCCUCGCUCUAAAGCACACUGCUUCUCUCAUCAAUGUAUAUGUGACUGAAAGACAUGUUGGGGGAGAUUGAAAAUCCAUAGACACAAGACCCUGAAUCAUCUUGCUUUUUAAUCUAUUUCUAUUUUUGACUGUUAAGAUCAACUCAGAAUCUCAUCUGAAAUAAAGAUACAAAUAUAUUUUUAUAUCUGGGCUUAUUUUUAGCGCAAAAUGAUGCUGUUGUACAAUAGGUCUCAUCUGACAUGUACAUCAUCUGCUGAAGUAUAUGUGCUGAUAUUUAGCACAAUAACUGAUAUAUAGUCUCCACAGGUGAGUCAGAGAGAAGAACUUUCAUUAGUUUUUAUAAACCGUAACUUUGCCAAAGAAAGGCAAGAGACCAUACAGCUAUAAGCCUAAGGAUUGACUGUCCAAGUACAUGUCUUUAGCUCCCUCAGGUCAAUGUUUUUACAGUGAUCAAUUAAAAUAAUAACAGUAAUAAACAUUUUUAAAUGAGGCAGUUAAUUGCAUAUCUCCAUGUGUAUUACCAAUAAUGGUCUAGAUCCUACAAUGCAUCUAAUUUUUUCAAAAAUGUAGGAUGAUGCUAAUGCUCUCCGUAUCCUACUAAAAAUUCUAUUUAAUUCCUAUCUGAGUCCAAGAAAUAUUUAUGGCAUGUAAGGUGUGGGGUUUUUAGCUAUACUUCUCAAAAUCAUAGCUUCUGGGUGAGUUAACCAUUCUGUUUUGUGGGAUUUUCAUCUUGACACUAUGGUUGCAAAUAAUUUUAUCUUGUUUAUCUCCAUUUUUAAAGGCUCAAUUUGCUGUGUUGUUGAGAACAGACUGGAAGAGGUGAUCGGAAAAGGCAGAAAGACUUCUUUGAAGACUAUUACAGUCAUUCUGCUGAGAGAUGACUACAUGGAUGGAGUGAGAAUUACAGAGGAAGGAGAGAAACCAGCAUAAACACUUAGAAGGAGCACCAGUAAGGCAGCAGGAAAGCUGAGAGGUGUGGAGUCCUGCAAGCCUAGUGAAGAGCUCAGAGGACAGAAAAGCGAAGACUGCCCUGGUGAAGAAGACAGAAAAGGAGGAGAAACAAACUGAGGCAGAAUAGGGUAGUGUUAUCACAAUGUCUGGAAAGACUGUAUCCUGUGUAAAGCUGUAGGUUCUGAUGGAUGGAAAUUAAGUACAUACCCAAUUUGUGGCAAAACUGUUGCUAACAAAUUAUUAUCGGCUUCUUGAGGAAACCUGGGAAAUAUUCUUCGCAUGCCUUUGUAAAUAUAUAUAUUUUUUAAACAAUUAAGUUUACCUUAAUUGGAGCUGUGACAAUUUAGAAUAAAGGCAAUUUUCUAAUUGUCAUAAACCAGGCCAAAAGGAAAGUAGGACAAGAUCUCUGUCUUCGCUGUCAUGAAUCAUAAAGUAGUGAGUAGACAUUAAAUAAAAUUAGGGGUGCCUGAGUGGCUCAGUCGGUUAAGCGUCUGACUUCGGUUUAAGUCAUGAUCUCACAGUUCGUGAGUUCA
Long non-coding RNA from Felis catus (domestic cat), 1849 nucleotides. RefSeq lists it as uncharacterized. NCBI's taxonomy places the organism in Eukaryota, Metazoa, Chordata, Mammalia, Carnivora, Felidae. The record is from RefSeq and is a predicted model, not a curated record. The transcript has 3 exons.